Molecule: ribosomal RNA, 863 nt
Filed under: uncultured bacterium
Lineage: Bacteria
Description: bacterial SSU rRNA
Rfam family: Bacterial small subunit ribosomal RNA
Source: RNAcentral
AGUUUGAUCCUGGCUCAGGAUGAACGCUGGCGGUAUGCUUAACACAUGCAAGUCGAACGGGGUACUUUCGGGUACCUAGUGGCGGACGGGUGAGUAACGCGUGAGAAUCUGGCUAUAGGUUCGGGACAACAUUGGGAAACUGAUGCUAAUACCGGAUGUGCCGAGAGGUGAAAGCUUAAUGUGCCUAUAGAUGAGCUCGCGUCCGAUUAGCUAGUAGGUGAGGUAAAAGCUCACCUAGGCCAUGAUCGGUAGCUGGUCUGAGAGGAUGGCCAGCCACACUGGGACUGAGACACGGCCCAGACUCCUACGGGAGGCAGCAGUGGGGAAUUUUCCGCAAUGGGCGAAAGCCUGACGGAGCAAUACCGCGUGAGGGAGGAAGGCUUUUGGGUCGUAAACCUCUUUUCUCUGGGAAGAAGUUCUGACGGUACCAGAGGAAUCAGCAUCGGCUAACUCCGUGCCAGCAGCCGCGGUAAUACGGAGGAUGCAAGCGUUAUCCGGAAUUAUUGGGCGUAAAGCGUCCGCAGGUGGUUAUUCAAGUCUGCUGUUAAAGCGUGGAGCUUAACUCCAUAUCGGCAGUGGAAACUGGAUGACUAGAGUUCGGUAGGGGUAGCGGGAAUUCCCAGUGUAGCGGUGAAAUGCGUAGAUAUUGGGAAGAACACCAGCGGCGAAAGCGCGCUACUGGGCCGAGACUGACACUGAGGGACGAAAGCUAGGGGAGCGAAAGGGAUUAGAUACCCCUGUAGUCCUAGCUGUAAACGAUGGGCACUAGGUGUUGCGCGUAUCGACCCGUGCAGUGCCGUAGCUAACGCGUUAAGUGCCCCGCCUGGGGAGUACGCACGCAAGUGUGAAACUCAAGGAAUUGA